UACGUAGGGUGCGAGCGUUAAUCGGAAUUACUGGGCGUAAAGCGUGCGCAGGCGGUUGUGCAAGACAGAUGUGAAAUCCCCGGGCUCAACCUGGGAAUUGCAUUUGUGACUGCACGGCUAGAGUGUGUCAGAGGGGGGUAGAAUUCCACGUGUAGCAGUGAAAUGCGUAGAGAUGCGGAGGAAUACCGAUGGCGAAGGCAGCCCCCUGGGAUAACACUGACGCUCAUGCACGAAAGCGUGGGGAGCAAACAGG
This 253-nucleotide ribosomal RNA is filed under the name uncultured bacterium. RNAcentral's name for it is "partial 16S ribosomal RNA". It matches the Rfam family "Bacterial small subunit ribosomal RNA", at positions 524 to 776 of the family's 1533-position model. The record is from RNAcentral.